GCCUCUGUGGACCAUGGGAGUCGCCUCCCUUUCAUCAUAAUGUAGUGCUUCCACACACGAGUUUAUGGAGGAGCCGAGGGUUCGACUCCCUCCGGAGGCU
This is a non-coding RNA of Mycena vitilis, 100 nucleotides long. The record is from the annotation of a GenBank genome assembly. Lineage: Eukaryota; Fungi; Basidiomycota; Agaricomycetes; Agaricales; Mycenaceae.